GGAAGUAAAAGCGUAACAAGGUCUCCGUUGGUGAACCAGCGGAGGGAUCAUUACAGGAUCGAAAGACUCCUAUAACCCCUGUGAACUUACUACAAAUACGUUGCUUCGGCGGGUGCCCCGGGUCUCCCGGGGCGUUCAGCCCGCCGGCAGCCUUCAAAUUCUGUUUCUUUGCGUUGGCAUCUCGAGUAUACAAAAAUAAGUUAAAACUUUCAACAACGGAUCUCUUGGUUCUG
Molecule: unclassified non-coding RNA, 233 nt
Filed under: plant metagenome
Description: partial contains small subunit ribosomal RNA, internal transcribed spacer 1, and 5.8S ribosomal RNA
Rfam family: Eukaryotic small subunit ribosomal RNA (bases 1-53)
Source: RNAcentral